This 883-nucleotide ribosomal RNA is filed under the name uncultured Chloroflexota bacterium. Its description in RNAcentral is "bacterial SSU rRNA". It matches the Rfam family "Bacterial small subunit ribosomal RNA", at positions 607 to 1501 of the family's 1533-position model. Lineage: Bacteria; Bacillati; Chloroflexota. The record is from RNAcentral.
GCUCAACUGGGAGAGGCCGUUCGAAACUACCUGACUUGAGGGCAGUAGAGGGAGGUGGAAUUCAGGGUGUAGCGGUGAAAUGCGUAGAUAUCCUGAGGAACACCAGUGGCGAAGGCGGCCUCCUGGGCUGACCCUGACGCUCAGACGCGAAAGCUAGGGUAGCAAACGGGAUUAGACACCCCGGUAGUCCUAGCUGUAAACGAUGCAGACUUGGUGUUGGCAGUUUAAACACUGUCAGUGCCGUAGCUAACGCGAUAAGUCUGCCGCCUGGGGACUACGACCGCAAGGUUAAAACUCAAAGGAAUUGACGGAGGCCCGCACAAGCAGCGGAGCGUGUGGUUUAAUUCGAGGCUACGCGAAGAACCUUACCUGGGUUUGACAUGUACGUAGUAGGAAUCCGAAAGGUGACCGACCCCUCGGGGAGCGUACACAGGUGCUGCAUGGCUGUCGUCAGCUCGUGCCGUGAGGUGUCCGGUUAAGUCCGGUAACGAGCGCAACCCUUACUCUGUGUUAUAUGUGUCACAGAGGACUGCCGGUAUAAAGCCGGAGGAAGGUGGGGAUGACGUCAAGUCCGCAUGGCCUUUAUAUCCAGGGCUACACACACGCUACAAUGGCCGGUACAAUGGGUCGCGAAGCCGCGAGGCGGAGCCAAUCCUCCAAAGCCGGUCUCAGUUCGGAUUGCAGGCUGCAACCCGCCUGCAUGAAGUCGGAGUUGCUAGUAACCGCAGGACAGCUAUACUGCGGUGAAUACGUUCCCGGGCCUUGUACACACCGCCCGUCGCGUCAUGGGAGCUGGCAACACCUGAAGUCGAUGACCUAACCGCAAGGAAGGAAUCGCCCAAGGUGGGGCUGGUGACUGGGACGAAGUCGUAACAAGGUAACC